GAUGAACGCUAGCGGCAGGCCUAACACAUGCAAGUCGAGGGAGAAGCCCUUCGGGGCAGAAACCGGCGCACGGGUGCGUAACGCGUAUGCAACCUACCUUUCACAGGGGGAUAGCCCGAAGAAAUUUGGAUUAAUACCCCAUAAUAUUAUUGGAUGGCAUCAUUUGAUAAUUAAAAUUACGAUGGUGAAAGAUGGGCAUGCGUCCUAUUAGCUAGUUGGAGUGGUAACGGCACCCCAAGGCUACGAUAGGUAGGGGUCCUGAGAGGGAGAUCCCCCACACUGGUACUGAGACAGGGACCAGACUCCUACGGGAGGCGGCAGUGAGGAAUAUUGGUCAAUGGUCGGAAGACUGAACCAGCCAUGCCGCGUGCAGGAAGAAUGCCUUAUGGGUUGUAAACUGCUUUUAUAUGGGAAGAAUAAGGCGUACGUGUACGUGAUGAACGGACCAU
This 449-nucleotide ribosomal RNA is filed under the name Capnocytophaga granulosa. RNAcentral describes it as "bacterial SSU rRNA". It matches the Rfam family "Bacterial small subunit ribosomal RNA", at positions 28 to 481 of the family's 1533-position model. The record is from RNAcentral. Lineage: Bacteria; Pseudomonadati; Bacteroidota; Flavobacteriia; Flavobacteriales; Flavobacteriaceae.